RNAcentral lists this non-coding RNA (158 nucleotides) under Clostridium perfringens. Lineage: Bacteria; Bacillati; Bacillota; Clostridia; Eubacteriales; Clostridiaceae. The record is from RNAcentral.
UUGUAACUAUAUAUUAAAAGGGAAGUUGGGUUUAAAUCCCACGCGGUCCCGCCGCUGUAAUAGAGGAGCUUUUUGUACUUUAAGCCACUGGAAUAUAAUAUUUUGGGAAGGCCACAAAAAGUGAUGAUACUUAAGCCAGAAGACCUGCCUAUUUUUAA